Molecule: long non-coding RNA, 753 nt
Organism: Canis lupus familiaris (dog)
Lineage: Eukaryota; Metazoa; Chordata; Mammalia; Carnivora; Canidae
Exons: 4
Source: RefSeq, a predicted model, not a curated record
ACCAGGGAAAGGAUUAUAUUGCAGCCGUAUUAGUACCAUCUAAAUGCUGUUUCAACUUUCUCCUUUCAGCCAUACUGGUUGUGCUGGCAGGGACUUGAUGCUUCCAACACAAGAGCAAGAGCCAAGCGAAUUUAUCAUCAGAUUGAAUUUGUUUGUGUUUGAAUUAGUCUCAGAUCUGGCCAUGAAAAAUUAUUGCCUUUACACCUCUGCUGUUGUUCCAGAUGUUCCAGGGCUUGUAGGGUGUUAUGCUGCUGAUUCAGCCCUGGCCCUAACACUGGGAAAUGAUGGCCAACCAACCUUUGGAAGUCCAUCCCCAAGUCAACUGUUAAUAGAGGCAUUUGCAUUUGGAAAGGGAACAAUGAGUUGAUCCAUAGCAGUGGCUCUUAAAUAACAGAAUACCAGGAACCCAAGGGACUACACUUGUUGCUGAUGCCAAUGAAGGUACUAAACAAGAACCGUGACCCUACUGCUACUUCUGUGGCUUCUACUGCCCUCUUGCCUUCUAAUACUCCAUGAAGGUCUCCUAUUGACAGAACCUCCCUUGAGAUCAAUGGAAAAGAGGGUCUGGGAAAUGUACCACCAGUAGAAAGAAAUCCCUGGUAACUUGUCAAUGGCACCGCUACUGCAGAGAAGAUAAAAACCUAGGUAUGUUCCUUUAAUGCUUGGAUUUGUGCAGGUAAUUGGAUUUCUUCUUUCUUGAGGGGACACAAUUAGAAAGACAUGUCUCUGGUCCUUUCCCUUGAAGAGUCUAGA